UACGAAGGGUGCAAACGUUGCUCGGAAUCAUUGGGCGUAAAGCGCACGUAGGCGGCUUGCCAAGUCGGACGUGAAAUCCCUCAGCUCAACUGAGGACGUGCAUCCGAAACUGGCGAGCUUGAGUGCUGAAGAGGAUUGCGGAAUUCCCGGUGUAGAGGUGAAAUUCGUAGAUAUCGGGAGGAACACCAGUGGCGAAGGCGGCGAUCUGGGCAGACACUGACGCUGAGGUGCGAAAGCGUGGGGAGCAAACAGG
This 253-nucleotide ribosomal RNA is filed under the name uncultured bacterium. Its description in RNAcentral is "partial 16S ribosomal RNA". It matches the Rfam family "Bacterial small subunit ribosomal RNA", at positions 524 to 776 of the family's 1533-position model. The record is from RNAcentral.